AUGAACGCUGGCGAUGUGUCUAAGGCAUGCAAGUCGAAAGCUGGUAGCAAUACCGGCUUGGCAAACGGGAGAGUAACGCAUUGGUAACUUACCUCGAAGACGGGAAUAACCCACCGAAAGGUGGAAUAAUACCCGAUAGUCGUGGGGGGACAUAAGUCAUUCCCACGUAAAGGCUCAGACGCUUUGAGAGAGACCUAUGUUCUAUCAGCUAGUUGGUGAGGUAAAAGCUCACCAAGGCUACGACGGAUAGCGGGUGUGAGAGCAUGACCCGUCUCACUGGGACUGAGAAACUGCCCAGACUCCUACGGGAGGCUGCAGUCAAGAAUAUUCCUCAAUGGCCGCAAGGCUGAAGGAGCGACAUCGCGUGCAGGAAGAAGCCCCUCGGGGUGUAAACUGCUUUUAUUUGGGAAGAACUAUGACGGUACCAAAUGAAUAAGGGGUUGCUAAACUCGU
This 453-nucleotide ribosomal RNA is filed under the name uncultured bacterium. RNAcentral describes it as "bacterial SSU rRNA". It matches the Rfam family "Bacterial small subunit ribosomal RNA", at positions 29 to 506 of the family's 1533-position model. The record is from RNAcentral.